CAGCAGCCGCGGUAAUACGGGGGGAGCAAGCGUUGUUCGGAUUUACUGGGCGUAAAGGGCGCGUAGGCGGCCACCGCAAGUCAGUUGUGAAAUCUCUGGGCUUAACCCAGAAAGGUCAACUGAUACUGCGGGGCUAGAGUGCAGAAGGGGCAACUGGAAUUCUCGGUGUAGCGGUGAAAUGCGUAGAUAUCGAGAGGAACACCUGCGGCGAAGGCGGGUUGCUGGGCUGACACCGACGCUGAGGCGCGAAAGCUAGGGGAGCGAACGGGAUUAGAUACCCCGGUAGUCCUAGCCUUAAACGAUGAAUGCUUGGUGUCUGGGGUUUUAUAGUCCCCGGGUGCCGUCGCUAACGCUUUAAGCAUUCCGCCUGGGGAGUACGGUCGCAAGACUGAAACUCAAAGGAAUUGACGG
RNAcentral lists this ribosomal RNA (411 nucleotides) under uncultured bacterium. RNAcentral's name for it is "bacterial SSU rRNA". It matches the Rfam family "Bacterial small subunit ribosomal RNA", at positions 509 to 916 of the family's 1533-position model. The record is from RNAcentral.